AGGGAACGUGCCCAAAGGUACGGAACAACUCCGGGAAACUGGAGCUAAUACCGUAUGUGCCCGAAAGGGGAAAGAUUUAUCGCCUUUGGAUCGGCCCGCGUCUGAUUAGCUAGUUGGUGAGGUAAUGGCUCACCAAGGCAUUGACGGGUAGCCGGCCUGAGAGGGUGACCGGCCACACUGGGACUGAGACACGGCCCAGACUCCUACGGGAGGCAG
Molecule: ribosomal RNA, 216 nt
Filed under: uncultured bacterium
Lineage: Bacteria
Description: partial 16S ribosomal RNA
Rfam family: Bacterial small subunit ribosomal RNA
Source: RNAcentral